CCCAGUGGUACGGAAUAGCUCAGGGAAACUUGGGGUAAUACCGUAUAAGCCCGAAAGGGGAAAGAUUUAUCGCCAUUGGAUGGGCCCGCGUCGGAUUAGCUAGUUGGUGAGGUAAUGGCUCACCAAGGCGACGAUCCGUAGCUGGUCUGAGAGGAUGAUCAGCCACACUGGGACUGAGACACGGCCCAGACUCCUACGGGAGGCAGCAGUGGGGAAUAUUGGACAAUGGGCGCAAGCCUGAUCCAGCCAUGCCGCGUGAGUGACGAAGGCCUUAGGGUUGUAAAGCUCUUUUGGCGGGGACGAUAAUGACGGUACCCGCAGAAUAAGCCCCGGCUAACUUCGUGCCAGCAGCCGCGGUAAUACGAAGGGGGCUAGCGUUGUUCGGAAUCACUGGGCGUAAAGCGCACGUAGGCGGAUUUGUAGUCAGGGGUGAAAUCCGGGGCUCAACCUCGGAACUGCCUUUGAUACUGCAAGUCUCGAGUCCGGAAGAGGUGAGUGGAAUUCCUAGUGUAGAGGUGAAAUUCGUAGAUAUUAAGG
Molecule: ribosomal RNA, 537 nt
Filed under: uncultured bacterium
Lineage: Bacteria
Description: bacterial SSU rRNA
Rfam family: Bacterial small subunit ribosomal RNA
Source: RNAcentral